AGAGUUUGAUCUUGGCUCAGAAUCAACGCUGGCGGCGUGCCUAACACAUGCAAGUCGAACGCGAAAGGGGCUUCGGCCCUGAGUAGAGUGGCGAACGGGUGAGUAACACGUGGGUGAUCUACCUUCGAGUGGGGGAUAACGUCCCGAAAGGGACGCUAAUACCGCAUGACGUUCCGGGUUUAAAGGCCUGGAAACCAAAGCCGGGGACCGCAAGGCCUGGCGCUUGAAGAGGAGCCUGCGUCCGAUUAGCUAGUUGGCGGGGUAAUGGCCCACCAAGGCAACGAUCGGUAGCCGGCCUGAGAGGGCGGACGGCCACACUGGAACUGAGACACGGUCCAGACUCCUACGGGAGGCAGCAGUGGGGAAUUGUUCACAAUGGGCGCAAGCCUGAUGACGCAACGCCGCGUGGGGGAUGAAGGUCUUCGGAUUGUAAACCCCUGUCGAAUGGGACGAAAGACCCGGGAGCUAAUCAUCCCGGGAGUGACGGUACCGUUAAGGAAGCCACGGCUAACUCUGUGCCAGCAGCC
RNAcentral lists this ribosomal RNA (527 nucleotides) under uncultured Acidobacteriota bacterium. RNAcentral's name for it is "bacterial SSU rRNA". It matches the Rfam family "Bacterial small subunit ribosomal RNA", at positions 8 to 516 of the family's 1533-position model. The record is from RNAcentral. Lineage: Bacteria; Pseudomonadati; Acidobacteriota.